RNAcentral lists this ribosomal RNA (469 nucleotides) under uncultured bacterium. RNAcentral describes it as "bacterial SSU rRNA". It matches the Rfam family "Bacterial small subunit ribosomal RNA", at positions 36 to 507 of the family's 1533-position model. The record is from RNAcentral.
CUGGCGGCGUGCUUCAUGCAUGCAAGUCGAACGAGAACCCCACGAUGGGUAACCAUUGCGGGACUUCUAGUGGCGAACGGGUGCGUAACACGUGAGGAACCUGCCCCGGAGACCGGGAUAGCCCAGGGAAACUUGGAUUAAUACCGGAUACCCUCGGAUGACCGCAUGGUCGACCGAGGAAACAGUCCGCUGCUCCGGGAUGGCCUCGCGCCCUAUCAGCUAGUUGGUGAGGUAACGGCUCACCAAGGCAACGACGGGUAGCUGGUCUGAGAGGACGAUCAGCCACACUGGGACUGAGACACGGCCCAGACUCCUACGGGAGGCAGCAGCAGGGAAUAUUGCACAAUGGGCGGAAGCCUGAUGCAGCGACGCCGCGCGAGGGAUGAAGGCCUUCGGGUUGUAAACCUCUUUCAGGAGGGAAGAAGCGAAAGUGACGGUACCUCCAGAAGAAGCCCCGGCCAACUACGUG